RNAcentral lists this long non-coding RNA (576 nucleotides) under Mytilus galloprovincialis (Mediterranean mussel). Lineage: Eukaryota; Metazoa; Mollusca; Bivalvia; Mytilida; Mytilidae. The record is from RNAcentral.
CCUUGGCAAAAUGCAAUUGACCAUUUGGCUAUACUAUAGCACUGCCAAUUAAAAUUAAAAACUAUGAACCGGUAAAAUGAGUUAAAGGUAAGUUGAAACCUGCCAGACUGGCAUGUACACCUUACAAUCUUCCAUAGUUAUUCAUAGUAUCUGAGAAAUUGAAAUAAUAACGUAUCGUUAACCGUGAUUAAUGAUUCAUGCAAUGAGUUCAUGGUCAGAUGAACCCUGUCUGCCGGACAUACAUUUCAUUCGUUGAACCUGGAAAAUGAGAUGAAGGACACACGACAACUGCCAGAUUUAAAUUUGGAAACAUGUGGCAUGUUUUAUAUAUAUAAAUAACCAGAUGCUCCGCAGGGCGCAGCUUUAUACGCCAGAGGUUGAACCCUGAACGGUUGGGGCAAGUAUGGACACAACAUUCAAGCUGGAUCCAGCUCUAAGUUUGGAUUGUGAUUAAAUAGUUGACACAGAAUGAAUGUGUUCUAAUGAACUUAAAAGUUGUUUUUUUGCCUUUGAGCAAUUUACUAUGCUGUUGAAUAUUAAUCCUCUCAAAAACUGUUCGAAAUUUUUUUAUUUAUU